AGCUCAUUGAGAACGGGCCAUGAUGACA
RNAcentral lists this non-coding RNA (28 nucleotides) under Homo sapiens (human). The record is from RNAcentral. Lineage: Eukaryota; Metazoa; Chordata; Mammalia; Primates; Hominidae.